RNAcentral lists this ribosomal RNA (459 nucleotides) under uncultured bacterium. Its description in RNAcentral is "SSU rRNA". It matches the Rfam family "Bacterial small subunit ribosomal RNA", at positions 26 to 518 of the family's 1533-position model. The record is from RNAcentral.
AGAAUCAACGCUGGCGGCGUGCCUAACACAUGCAAGUCGAACGAGAAAGUGGAGCAAUCCAUGAGUAAAGUGGCGCACGGGUGAGUAACACGUGACUAACCUACCCUUGAGUGGGGGAUAACCUAGGGAAACCUGGGCUAAUACCGCAUAAUACCGAGAGGUCAAAGGAGCAAUUCGCUUAAGGAGGGGGUCGCGGCCGAUUAGUUAGUUGGCGGGGUAAUGGCCCACCAAGACUAUGAUCGGUAUCCGGCCUGAGAGGGCGCACGGACACACUGGAACUGAAACACGGUCCAGACUCCUACGGGAGGCAGCAGUGGGGAAUUUUGCGCAAUGGGGGAAACCCUGACGCAGCAACGCCGCGUGGAGGAUGAAGUCCCUUGGGACGUAAACUCCUUUCGAUCGGGACGAUUAUGACGGUACCGAGAGAAGAAGCCCGGCUAACUUCGCGCCAGCAGCCGC